Molecule: long non-coding RNA, 321 nt
Organism: Megalobrama amblycephala (Wuchang bream)
Lineage: Eukaryota; Metazoa; Chordata; Actinopteri; Cypriniformes; Xenocyprididae
Exons: 2
Source: RefSeq, a predicted model, not a curated record
AUAAAGGACAGUAAAUAAAAAUAAUACAGUAAAUAAAGUAAUAUUUAGGAGCAGAACAUUAACUGUAUUGUGGGGGAUUUUCUGCAGGAUGGUGAGGCAUGGAAGAGACGCUGCCCAGAGGAAUCUGCAAGAAAAACAGCAACCACCCAGAACACCCUAGCAACUGCCUAGUAACCAUAGUGGCCACUCAUCUUCUUGACCUGAACACAUAACUCACCUGAGGAGAACAGCAGGCGUUGGCUUUACAGGCAAAUGCUGACAGACAGAUGGAGAUGAUGAACUCAAGGAGAGUGAAUACCAAAGACACACCACUGAUCCCCC